Molecule: ribosomal RNA, 253 nt
Filed under: uncultured bacterium
Lineage: Bacteria
Description: partial 16S ribosomal RNA
Rfam family: Bacterial small subunit ribosomal RNA
Source: RNAcentral
UACGGGGGGGGCAAGCGUUGUUCGGAAUUACUGGGCGUAAAGGGCUCGUAGGUGGCCAACUAAGUCAGACGUGAAAUCCCUCGGCUUAACCGGGGAACUGCGUCUGAUACUGGAUGGCUUGAGUUUGGGAGAGGGAUGCGGAAUUCCAGGUGUAGCGGUGAAAUGCGUAGAUAUUCGCAAGAACACCAGUGGCGAAGGCGGCUCUCUGGACAGUUCCUGACGCUGAGGCGCGAAAGCUAGGGGAGCAAACGGG